AGAACGAACGCUGGCGGCAUGCCUAAUACAUGCAAGUCGAACGAACACUUCGGUGUUAGUGGCGCACGGGUGCGUAACGCGUGGGAAUCUGCCCUUGGGUUCGGAAUAACAGUUGGAAACGACUGCUAAUACCGGAUGAUAUACGAAAGAUCAAAGAUUUAUCGCCCAGGGAUGAGCCCGCGUAGGAUUAGCUAGUUGGUGAGGUAAAGGCUCACAAGGCGACGAUCCUUAGCUGGUCUGAGAGGAUGACUCACGCCAACACGUGGGACUGGACGACCACCGG
This 283-nucleotide ribosomal RNA is filed under the name uncultured soil bacterium. RNAcentral's name for it is "partial 16S ribosomal RNA". It matches the Rfam family "Bacterial small subunit ribosomal RNA", at positions 26 to 345 of the family's 1533-position model. The record is from RNAcentral.